GACGAACCGAGCGAACGUUGUUCGGAAUCACUGGGCUUAAAGGGCGCGUAGGCGGGUGCUCAAGUCCGGGGUGAAAUCCGUCCAGCUCAACUGGAGAACUGCCUCGGAUACUGGGCGUCUCGAGUGUGGUAGGGGUGGUGCGGAACUAUCGGUGGAGCGGUGAAAUGCGUUGAUAUCGAUAGGGAACUCCGGUGGCGAAGGCG
Molecule: ribosomal RNA, 203 nt
Filed under: uncultured bacterium
Lineage: Bacteria
Description: partial 16S ribosomal RNA
Rfam family: Bacterial small subunit ribosomal RNA
Source: RNAcentral